GGCGCGGUAGCCAAGUGGUAAGGCGAGGGUCUGCAAAAUCCUUAUACAUCGGUUCGAUCCCGAUCCGCGCCUCCA
Molecule: transfer RNA, 75 nt
Filed under: Verrucomicrobia bacterium ADurb.Bin018
Lineage: Bacteria; Pseudomonadati; Verrucomicrobiota
Also listed under: 2 other names
Description: tRNA-Cys
Rfam family: tRNA
About the family: Transfer RNA (tRNA) molecules are approximately 80 nucleotides in length. Their secondary structure includes four short double-helical elements and three loops (D, anti-codon, and T loops).
Source: RNAcentral